RNAcentral lists this ribosomal RNA (252 nucleotides) under uncultured bacterium. RNAcentral describes it as "partial 16S ribosomal RNA". It matches the Rfam family "Bacterial small subunit ribosomal RNA", at positions 524 to 776 of the family's 1533-position model. The record is from RNAcentral.
UACGUAGGGUCCGAGCGUGUCCGGAAUUACUGGGCGUAAAGCGCACGUAGGCGGCUUUGUAAGUUAGAGGUGAAAGCCCGGGGCUCAACUCCGGAAUUGCCUUUAAGACUGCAUCGCUAGAAUUGUGGAGAGGUAAGUGGAAUUCCGAGUGUAGAGGUGAAAUUCGUAGAUAUUCGGAAGAACACCAGUGGCGAAGGCGACUUACUGGACACAUAUUGACGCUGAGGUGCGAAAGCGUGGGGAGCAAACAGG